This 462-nucleotide ribosomal RNA is filed under the name Biomphalaria glabrata. RNAcentral's name for it is "partial large subunit ribosomal RNA". It matches the Rfam family "Bacterial large subunit ribosomal RNA", at positions 1797 to 2620 of the family's 2925-position model. The record is from RNAcentral. Lineage: Eukaryota; Metazoa; Mollusca; Gastropoda; Planorbidae.
CGCCUGUUUAUCAAAAACAUAGUUUAAGGAAAUAAUCUUAAAUGUAUUCUGCCCAGUGAUUAUUAUUAAAUGGCCGCAGUACCUUGACUGUGCUAAGGUAGCAUAAUCAAUUGGCUUCUAAUUAAAGUCUGGAAUGAAAGGAAAAAUGAAGUAAUUCUGUCUUAAAGAAUUUUUUUUGAAUUUAUUUAAAUGAUGAAAAUAUCAUUUUUUUAGAAAAAAGACGAGAAGACCCUUAGAGUUUUCAAUUUUUUUUUGUUGGGGCGACAAGUAAACAAUUAAACUUUACAAUAAUUAUAAAUCGAUUUUUUAUAAGAAUAAUUAAACUACCUUAGGGAUAACAGCAUUAUAUAUUUUUUUAUGAUUGUGACCUCGAUGUUGGACUAGGAACUUUAUGGCUAGCCGUCAAAAAAGAUUUGUUCUGUUCGAACAAUAUUAUCCUACGUGAUCUGAGUUCAGACCGGA